This is a long non-coding RNA of Haliotis rubra (blacklip abalone), 474 nucleotides long. RefSeq lists it as uncharacterized. Lineage: Eukaryota; Metazoa; Mollusca; Gastropoda; Lepetellida; Haliotidae. The transcript has 2 exons. The record is from RefSeq and is a predicted model, not a curated record.
UUCUCUUCUGAAUCGAUCAUAAAAAGUUGCAUCAUACCAUUUUGGCAAAACAAUCUCGUCUGCAACCUUUCCCGUCAGCUUUGACAAGCGCGUUAUGUAACAUUCGUAACUACUCGUGUCAUUCCGGUAGGUCACGGAAAGUGGCGAGUAGUUACGAAUGGUUAUGUAACCGGCCGUAAUCACGUGGAACGCAUGCACGUCGUGCACAGUCGAUGAAUGCUGCAAGCUUGGUUUGCACAAGCGCACUCGAGGUCAGGAACGAUCGGAUAAGUCCAAGAGCCACAAUGGAGGAUCGACAGCACAGUUUUCCACAGCCAAAUGUUGGGGGCGAAUUUGAUGCCAUCGAGUGAUGCUUGAGAGACGGCAACCAUGAAAACGGGAAGAAACUGGACACACUGAUGAAGAGGCCGAACGUUUUGAAGAAAAACCUUUUCCAUCAAUGUCAACUUGCGAUAAUAAACUUUUAGUCUCUCA